Molecule: ribosomal RNA, 815 nt
Filed under: uncultured bacterium
Lineage: Bacteria
Description: bacterial SSU rRNA
Rfam family: Bacterial small subunit ribosomal RNA
Source: RNAcentral
UGAUACUGAAGAGCUUGAAUGGACUAGAGGUAGGCGGAAUGUGACAAGUAGCGGUGAAAUGCAUAGAUAUGUCACAGAACACCGAUUGCGAAGGCAGCUUACUAUGGUUUUAUUGACGCUGAGGCACGAAAGCGCGGGGAUCAAACAGGAUUAGAUACCCUGGUAGUCCACGCCCUAAACGAUGAAUACUCGCUGUUAGCGAUACACAGUUAGCGGCUAAGCGAAAGCGUUAAGUAUUCCACCUGGGGAGUACGGUCGCAAGAUUGAAACUCAAAGGAAUUGACGGGGGCCCGCACAAGCGGAGGAGCAUGUGGUUUAAUUCGAUGAUACGCGAGGAACCUUACCCGGGCUUGAAAGUUAGUGAAUGAUUUAGAGAUAGAUCAGUGAGCAAUCACACGAAACUAGGUGCUGCAUGGCUGUCGUCAGCUCGUGCCGUGAGGUGUUGGGUUAAGUCCCGCAACGAGCGCAACCCCUAUGUUUAGUUGCCAGCACGUUAUGGUGGGGACUCUAAACAGACUGCCUGUGCAAACAGAGAGGAAGGAGGGGACGACGUCAAGUCAUCAUGGCCCUUACGUCCGGGGCUACACACGUGCUACAAUGGAUGGUACAGAGGGCAGCAAGCUGGCAACAGCAAGCCAAUCUCCAAAAGCCAUUCACAGUUCGGAUAGAGGUCUGCAACUCGACCUCUUGAAGUUGGAUUCGCUAGUAAUCGCAUAUCAGCAAUGAUGCGGUGAAUACGUUCCCGGGCCUUGUACACACCGCCCGUCAAGCCAUGGAAGUUGGGGGUACCUAAAGUAUGUAACCGCAAGGAGCUC